UGUGAUAACAAAAUAAAAAUGAAGGACGAAAGUAAUACACCACUCAAAAUUGAUGGAUGACUGGCAAAAAUUAACCCACUUCUAAUUGCAUUAUUAUUACCAUGCUGUCCCAAAAUAAAACUAUACAAUCCUCUUGGAAAUGGAACUCUCAAACAAAUCUCUUUUUACCGGAAUACCUUAAGAAUACAAGUCAAUUGCCAUCACAAACAUAGCCAGAUAUGCUUAGCACACACAUACAAAAAGGGAGUGAGAGUUGAACUGCAGUUAAAUUAAUGAGGCAACACUUGCUGUCAAUUGAAGAAGGAAAAAUAUGCAUCACCCUCUUCUUUCCUUUGCAAAGUACCCUAUAAAUUUAGAGAGAAAUUGCUCAAAGACCCAUAUUUGAAGACAACCAUUUAUUUACAUCAGUUCCAUAGUAGAGAGAUCCAUUUGCAUAGAAACAACAAUGAGCUUAAAAUAGAAAAAGAAGGUAGGUUAAUUUGAAGGUAGAGAGGGAUGUGAAAACCAGCAUCUUGGGAUGAUGACAUCAAAAACCAAAUUAAAAUUCCCUUCUCAUCCACCUAUACUGUACCUCAAAGCUUACCACCAAUAGCCGUCACAGCUUUUUCAUAUUUCCCAGCAUCUUGUCAAUCUCCAAUACUACUUCAAUAUCUCAACAGACAAUUCAUAAGAGAAAGUAAUCAAACAGGAAGCAAAGGACAUGGGACUCUUUGAUUCGAUGAUUACAUACCACAAUGGCACCGUAUAAGUUGAGGAGCAUUGUUCCGUAAUUUCACCUUUCAUGUGUAACAGAUGGAUAACAAAAAAUCAUCUCUCCACAGAGAAAAGUGAUGGAACCACCCUCUACUAUUUCUUUUACUUAACAUAUGCGACUGAUGAAACUACUGACCAAGAGGAGCCAGUUGAAGAUACACACACACACACAACUAUAUUGCUAUGAUUUUUUCCCAUUAGGUUUCGGUGACUGGUAUGGCUGGUUAUAUGGAGAAGCACGUGAAUCACUUAUACUGGAUAAGCUCCUCAGUGGUUGUCCAUUCCUUGUUACAAAUCCUCCUUGUGUUCUGAUGCCAUUUUUAUUAUGCAAACUUGACUUGUUACGAUCUGCUUGCAUAGCCUGGAAAUAAUAGGAAGAGCUGGCCAUAUCCUUCAAGUUAAGCAAAGGCUUUAGUGUUUCAACAACUUCACUCAUUCGGGGUCUAGCUUUGGGAUCACGGCUAAGACACUGGGCGGCCAGUUGUAUGGCUUUCGGAGCACCUUUUAUUGAAAAGUGACCUUCAAGACGAGGGUCUAAUAACCGGUAGAACCUUCUCCUAUCUCCGAAAUGAGGUCUUGCCCAUUCAACAAGGUUGUGCUCCCCAUUUGGGCGGUUUUUGUCCAUAGAUCUUCGGCCAGUCAGCAUUUCAAGCAAAACUACUCCAAAACUGUAGACAUCACUCUUUUCUGUCAAUUGCUGAUUUGCAUAAUA
This 1465-nucleotide unclassified non-coding RNA is filed under the name Hevea brasiliensis (rubber tree). The record is from RNAcentral. Lineage: Eukaryota; Viridiplantae; Streptophyta; Magnoliopsida; Malpighiales; Euphorbiaceae.